Molecule: transfer RNA, 76 nt
Filed under: Clostridiaceae bacterium
Lineage: Bacteria; Bacillati; Bacillota; Clostridia; Eubacteriales; Clostridiaceae
Description: tRNA-Thr
Rfam family: tRNA
About the family: Transfer RNA (tRNA) molecules are approximately 80 nucleotides in length. Their secondary structure includes four short double-helical elements and three loops (D, anti-codon, and T loops).
Source: RNAcentral
GCCCUCAUAGCUCAGUAGGUAGAGCGCAUCCAUGGUAAGGAUGAGGUCAACAGUUCGAUUCUGUUUGAGGGCUCCA